This 24-nucleotide non-coding RNA is filed under the name Arabidopsis thaliana (thale cress). Lineage: Eukaryota; Viridiplantae; Streptophyta; Magnoliopsida; Brassicales; Brassicaceae. The record is from RNAcentral.
GACGGAUUUGUUAUCGAUCACAGA